UACGUAGGUGGCAAGCGUUGUCCGGAAUUACUGGGUGUAAAGGGCGUGUAGGCGGGAAGGCAAGUCAGAUGUGAAAGCCCAUGGCUUAACUGUGGAACUGCAUCUGAAACUGUUUUUCUUGAGUACUGGAGAGGAAAGUGGAAUUCCUAGUGUAGCGGUGAAAUGCGUAGAGAUUAGGAGGAACACCAGUGGCGAAGGCGGCUUUCUGGACAGUAACUGACGCUGAGGCGCGAAAGCGUGGGGAGCAAACAGGAUUAGAUACCCUGGUAGUCCACGCUGUAAACGAUGGAUACUAGGUGUGGGAGGUAUCGACCCCUUCCGUGCCGGAGUUAACACAAUAAGUAUCCCACCUGGGGAGUACGGCCGCAAGGUUGAA
RNAcentral lists this ribosomal RNA (376 nucleotides) under uncultured bacterium. RNAcentral's name for it is "bacterial SSU rRNA". It matches the Rfam family "Bacterial small subunit ribosomal RNA", at positions 524 to 898 of the family's 1533-position model. The record is from RNAcentral.